This 23-nucleotide non-coding RNA is filed under the name Gallus gallus (chicken). The record is from RNAcentral. RNAcentral also lists the same sequence under 3 other names. Lineage: Eukaryota; Metazoa; Chordata; Aves; Galliformes; Phasianidae.
UGGAAUGUAAGGAAGUGUGUGGU